Molecule: long non-coding RNA, 390 nt
Organism: Mytilus trossulus (common blue mussel)
Lineage: Eukaryota; Metazoa; Mollusca; Bivalvia; Mytilida; Mytilidae
Exons: 2
Source: RefSeq, a predicted model, not a curated record
GGCGGUGGCGGAGGAGGUCAACAGAACGUUGUUAUUGAUAACAGUCGAGGAGGCGGAAGGCAAUGGGGUGGUAGACAACAGUUUGGAGGCGGUCGACGACAGUUUGGAGGCGGACGACAACAGUUCGGAGGUGGCCGAAGACAAUUCGGAGGCGGUCGACGACAAUUCGGAGGCGGUCGACGAAAUAGGUGGUAGACACACGUUUUGAUCAUACCGUCCUUGUUUUUGAUGAUUAAAACAGUCCUGGUGAUACAGCUGAAAACCAUCUACAAAUGUUUAUAUAGACCAUAUUGGUGAUAGCCAGAACGGAAGAACAUUUUUAAAUUGUAUUUGUUAAUAUAUUUUUAUUUUGAUACUAUGUAUUUUUUCUAUUAAAGACUUCGAAUGAAA